CAGCCAAGGGCUCUCUUUUGUCUCUGCUGUGAUCUGCAGGUGCUGCUUGUUAAUGAAUGCAAAGAACAGCCAGAGACUGCGGGAGCCUGCUGCGGCUUUGCAGAUCAACUGUCCACGCACAGAUCCUGUCUGUGAGCUGAUAAAGCUUUGUAACUAGAAGGAAAACAGCAAGCAGCAUGGGAUGCGGAAGCAGAAGGCCUGUGUUCUGGACGGACCCUGCUCUGAUGGGUGUGUGCUCCAUGCUCCUGUACACUUGCUCAGCCUCUCCUGUUCCUGUGGAAGUGGGGUGCUGCCACAGACCUGUGUGGAGGACGAGUCACUCUGCAGGCCCACAUCUCCUGGCAGUGGCUGGCUAUUGGACACCUACUGCUGGAGGGGUGCUCAGCGUUUGGGAAGAUUUAGCCAUGGGGCAAGAAAGAAGGAUUUAUUCUAGGAUCACAGGACUUCCCUCUUUGGAUCUACUUCCCGUGGAAAUCCCCGUAAAGAUCGUAUCUUGUCUCCGUCUGCUGAGGCAUAAAGAAAAAUGCCAUGAAAGGAGAGCAGAGGAGAGGUUUGGAAAACACGGAAGAUGCUUGCACGCAGAGGAUCUCGUGCGGCUAAAGGAAGACUUUCAUCUCUCCCUUUCAUUUCUCCGGGGAGGGUUAGCUGCUCCCAGCUUUCAAAUCCCCCUUCAGCGACUGGGUUGCAGCAACUGGCAAAACUGCUUUCAUGGUCUCGGAAGCGUCCCUGGAGCUCCGAGAGGCCAAUUCCUGCAAAGGAGCCCUACCAAUCCAAAGGCAGUCCCACGCUGCAGAGCGCGAGCAGGCAGUGAGAGUGCCGGCCUGGGAGGAAUGCUGCGGCAUCCCAGGUGCACUUUACAAGGGCAAAGUCCGACCCCGUCUCAGAUAUCAAAGUCGUGCUCCAUGCAGCAUGGCCCUUAAAAAAUUUAUGUUGUGUUUAUCAGCUCGGGCAGGUUCAGCGCCGGGGCCACCGCUUGGCUAAUUACUCCUGCGCGGCUGCCCUUGCUCCCUCCCUUCCGGUCGCUGCAGCCAGGCCUUAGGAUCCUGAUUGUCCCAGGCUGUUCCUUGGACAUUUAUGUGUUUUUCUGAACUGGAAGUGUCCCACCGUGUAGCUGCCUCGCUCCUCGGGCUGGAGUAAGAGCUGUUUUGUAAGCGCCUCGUCCUCCACAUCUCCUGUGCUGGGGAGGAGCGGGGGACCCUCUCUGCUGUCCAGCAAUGAGGAUGAACACCCAGCUCCACCGGCGAGGCGAGUUGUCCUCCUUUGUGUGGUCUCUCGUGUCUUUUAUUUUACACAGAACACAUCUUUAUUCAAUCCUCAAGUUUAACAGAAGUGACCCCCUCACACACUCCAGGUUCACAUGACAACAGAAAGGGUCUUUCAAUAAACUAAGAGUAAAGAUCUGGGUUCACGGGGUGGGCCUAGGACCCACCCAGCUUUGCCGGCCCAGUGACCAGUGGCCAGUGGCCAGUGGCCAGUGGCCGUGCCUUGCAGGAAAGCAUCAGGGUCCUGCCCAGUACAGGAGGAGAAGAGAGGCGCUGGGGCUGCUUCCUGGGACUUGGCAAAUCUCCCUGCCCUGCACGGCAGUUGUCGGUGGCACUGGGGCCCUGCUUUCUGCUUGGGUGACAUGGCUCUUCCAGACCACCUCACAGCACACAGGUUAAGUGCAGCAAACCCAGACACAGCCUCGCCCUGCUAACUGCCAACCAGUGACUUCAGCAUUUAUGGUCAAACCAUCAUCCUACCCGUGGAAACCUCUGCUCCCUGCCAAGGCUCAUUUCAUUUUCCUUCUUUCUUAUGCAGAUGAGCAGUGGUGGAAAAUGUAUUCUCCUCACCAGAGUCACCUCCCGGGGCUGCCUGCGUUCUGGAAAACUUGAGCUGAAGUUCGGGUCCGGUCACCUGGUCUGUUUUUCUCUUCCAACUCACUUUUAACAAGGAUAGCCUUUACUUUUAUUUUCCUCUUUAUUCUAUUUUAAAAUGUACAUUACGCAAACAUUCCAAAAACACUAAGGAAAUUCUAAGUAAAAGGCAAGAAAACAAAUCCACAAUUCCAUUAGUAAAACAAACCAAGCUGUUUUCAGGCUUUGUCACCGACUCAGAGCGACGCAAACACGUAGCUUUGCCAGCAUAACGAUGGCAGAUACACAUCCUGGCAAGCGCUGUGUUCUAACUGCACAUUCUAUAGUAAGCUUUUUUUUUCCAUGUCACCACAUAGAAUUUACAUUCGUCUUUUUAUUCUCUGCUUAUCCAGCCCAUUGGGUAAAUAUAAUUGAUUUAACCGUGUUCCUACACUAGUUCAGCACAAAUGGCUUCCAGCUUCUUGUUAUCAUAUAAAAACACCACUGCUUUUUUCCUUUGGCUCAUUGCCUCAUGGUAACUUUCUAAGAGACCCCCCUCUAUUUUUGCUUUAAACACAGAGAGGUGAACCCUAUUUGCUUUUACAAUGUCUUCCUUGGUGGGAGUCCCAGCGGGAACCUUCUCUCCAGGUGUCUGGGGCUGUGGGAGAUGGACGGGUGGAGGAGGGGCCGGCCUUCAUAAGGAAGUGGAGAAAACUCACUGCACAGUUAAUUAGAAAGGGCCAUGAAGCAAGUCCCUACUUUAUGGCUUUCCGAGAAUUGAUGACGGUUUUUCUAACCAGGCCCGCCUGUUCUCCCGCAGGUGUGUGCAGCUUGCUAGACCAUAUGGUUUUUGGCUGUCCAAGGCCCCUUGCUUGAAUCAAUCCACGAUCCUGUAACUGAAUAUCAGUUAAUAACUUUUCAUAACAAUGUAGCUUGGAUCAGCUUGUAGGUCCGGCCAGAGCCCCUGUACAAAGCGCUGUCUUUUUUCAGGCUCCUGCUGCCUCUUUGGCACACCUGGGGAGCUGCAGCCCCACGGCCGUCCCCAGGGCCAUAGCAAUAUUCUAGGCUCACAGAGGGCCAGCUGCAGGUUCAGCAAGUGAGGAGGCCUGGGCACAUGCUUGUUCUUCAGCUGUAAUUUGUCUCUCUUGAGAUCUGCCAGGAGGGCUGGGGUCCUGUGACUUAAAUAAAAAAAAGAGCAAGAGCUUUUGACCACAAAAUAUUGUAGGGUGAUUUUCAGCACGCAGGCAAAAUCUGACUUAGUGUGAACUGAUCUACACGCAUCCCUGAGAGGCUUGGGGGUCGUGUGGGAUCUUGAGAAUGGCUGGGCCAGCCCUGUGACCAAAGGAAUUCUCUACCUCCCUAUCACCUGUGGGAUUUCUUCCUCUUCUACACCCCCACUGCCCCCAUCUCCUGCCCAAAGAGGUUCUGCUGUCUUUCCCUCUUGUCCCCUCUCCCUGAUGGCAGUGCCUGAGGGAAUGGAUGGGAGGGAGUGAUUCCAGGCUGCUACCAGUCUUCUGCAUCCAUGUGAACUUGUUCUUGUGCUGGAGUGGCCGUGAGCCCCAGGGAGCUGGGCAUCCCUUUAGCCCCACUGUAAUCUCUGAUCAUCAGAAACCCUUCUAAGCCAUACUCGUGCUUGGGUCUCUGCAGUCGUAUUGCCUUGAAAUUAUUCAGCUGAGAAUUAGAAAUGUCCUUGAUCAUUAAGAUAAACAGUUAUUGGCAAAUGUCUUCAGAGCUUGUACUUGGAUCUUCAUGUAUGGCAAGAUCCCUACCAUUUGAUGUGCAAUUGGCAGGGAGAAGGAGGAGGGGAGAUUUCCACGAGCCCAUGAGUAUGUCUUUCCUGGUGAUACCAAGCACAAAGAUAUCCCACCUGCCAGGCAGCGGGUGAAGGGCAGCAAGCAGCUUUUCAACUUGGCAGCCAAUGGAAAGGGAGAGAUGGAGCUAGGAGACGCAGGAGAGAAAUGGGCAGGUGGCAUCGUUAAACUAUGAACAGGAACAGCCAGACAGGAAGCGAGUCAGGGCACAGAGAUGUCCUGGAGUUUGUCUUGGCAGGAGGUCCUAACCCCUGCAAUGUCCUCAUCCCAGCUGGACCCAGGCCGACCAGAUCUCCCUGCACCCUGGCCUCGGAGGCAACGGAACCCAAGGAGAGGGUAUGGAUUUGUCAUCUUCACUCAAGCUGUAUCCCAGCAUCCACCACAGAGCCUGGCCAUGCUCAAUCGAUAUGUAUUGGAUAUUAAAAGCUGGUGUUUAUUUGUAGUGACUUAGGGGCCAUGCUAACCACUUGACUUGUGUUAUAUCAUUUAAUCUGUAUAAUAACCCUAGAAGUGAGAAUAGAUUAUUAUCCCCAUUUUUAGAUCUGAAGUGGAGGCACAGUGAGAUCAGAUGCUCUGCCCAAGUCUUCACUGCUAGCGAGAGGAGAGCUGGGACUAGAACCGAGGCCCAGGCCUGGCCUCUGCUUAGCAUCCCUGCUAUCACUUGGCCGUGACCCAGGUGCCUGCCAUUUUUGUUCUAAGAGCCAGCCUCAGGAACAUCACAGAUCACACCCUCAGAGCCUGAUCCCGGGGCAUGGCGCUGCCCUUCUGGGAAGAUAUCUUCACCCCAAAAUGAAGCUGAGGAAAAUCCGACUGAAGCCUAAGCCAAAUGGAUCAAAACUGGAGCACUAUUUGGGGUUCUCGAUAUUUCUAAACUCUAUCCUCUUAAAUGGAGCUCCCAAGAAAUAAUGCCUGAAGGGAACCUCAAUUAAAUUCUAUGCUGAUUCUUACGACAUCCGCCCUCCACUUCUGCCUCCUUCCCUCUCCUUGAGUUUGUUCAAGAGCAACAGAUUCUGGCUAAGGUCCGGGCAUGGCGGGGAAGCGGUCCAACCAUCUGCUGAUCACUUCUGAAUGAUCUGGCCGACUUUGCGGCACAUCUUCCUCCAGUUUGCCCCUUGGAUCCUAUGAGUGGGGAUCAGAUCCUUGGGGAGGCUCUGGACCCAGCCAUCAUAGUUGCCUUGGUUACCUUCUAGCAGGGAUCCAGGGGAGACCCAGAACUAACCAAGAUUCUUGUGAAUUGGGAGAAGUUCACAGGCAAAAGUCAGAGUGAGAUAAUCACCUGCUUUGCUCCUUUUCUCUCCAGGUCAAGUGCAUCCAUCUUCUGCUGUCUGCUGUGGGUCAGGAGGAGGGAGACAUCCUGGAGAAACCACUAACAAGGAAUUGCUUAAUGCAAGUGCCUUGCCAGACACAUUAGCAGGGAAGGGUGGCUCAGUCUUCAGACAUAUUUAUGGCAGGAUGUGAGGGGGAGUGCCUCUAAAAGUGUGUGUGGCGUGGGGAGUAUUAAUUCUACAAGGCACUCAGCCUUUGCACACUGGAAAGAGGCAGCCUUUCGCUCACUAAGCAACACAGCCCUGGCCAUGGCAACUUCCUGGCAAUGCAGUUUCUCUCUUAACACCCACAUGCCUCAAACUUUGUCUUCAUUCUAUUUAACAAAUGUGUGUGCAUGUUGCUCAGUCCCUGAGUUAAACUCUGGCUUAAAAAUGUGGGGAGUGUCUUUAGUUUAGGUUGCAUACAGUAGGGUCUUACAAUGAGCAGAGUGUUCAGCCAUGUCUGAUGUGGCAUGUGUGUAGCAUGGGUGCUGUGGAGCAGUGAUGACAGUGCUGUAUAUGUGUAUGGAGUAGGUAUGAUUUGUGGCGUAGGUGUGACAUGAUGGCAGGGAUGGUAUUAAGGUGGUGGCAAUGGUGACACACGUGUGUGCUUGUGUGUGUGUGGUGUGAUGGUGCAUAUUUUUUCUAUUUUACACAGUGAGGCAGCACUUGAUGGUAGACAGCAAAACAUCCCUCACUCUGCUGCUCCUGGUAUACCUCUGCAGCACAGGUAAAGUCAAGCAGACGUGCCAAGUUGGGCGGAGAAAACGUUAGUUCACAGGUUCUCAGGACUCAUCGGUAGGGGAAUGAUGAGUGGUCACCCUUGGUUGCUUGUCUUACACAAGAAGUGAGUGAGGAGUCUUUGUUAGGGGCUGGCCCCAUAUCUGAACCUGUGCUUCCCAGGGUCCUCUAUGGUAGACUGUGGCAUUUUUUGCUCUGGUGCUACCCAUCACCUCCAACUGGCAUUCCUAGCACUGGGCUGAGGCUGACACGUUCUGGGCCCACUGGGGCAAUAAGGGCGGUUAGCACUGACCUUCCCCAAGCAAGGUGACGUUGUAAAGAUGGCAAACACUAGAAAGAACCCAUCAUUCCUACCCUGUUAGUGGCGCCCAACCUUCCUCUGUCCAGCUCACAGCCUAGACCCAAAAACCCUGUUUUGCUAGAUUCUCAACUCUUCAAUUUCCCCCUAUUUGCUGGCAUUUUUCAAAAAUUGUGUUCAGUUUGCAUAAAUGUCCAGAACAGGAAAAGAUUUUUACUUUUUGAUGAUUUAUUUUUUUAACCAUCCACAUUAUCAAGUUACCUUAUUUCUUCUAAUUAUUUGUUAGGAUUUGGAGCCUGAAAAAAUAUCUUCUUUGUCAGGAUUUGACUGUUUCACCUUGUGAGAUUUUAUAUUACAGGAAAUUCUGAUCAUCUAAUUUUGUCCAUUUUUAAUGUAAUUUUAAAAACCAAAACAUUUGUCAGUCUCUAAAUUCUAAGUUUAAUUUGAAAUUUUAUGACUUCAUCAGAGGAUGUCAUGUGUGGAUUUUUGUUCCCCAAAUAAUUUGCAUACCUUUAAUUGGAAUUCUCUAGAUUUUUUUGGUCAGGGAUGUUAUUGCUGUUCUUUUCUGGGAAAUAAUGUUUUACCGGAUUGAUUCUCUAUGUUUCUUACCAGUUGGCUCAUUGCAUAAUUCUCUUUAGUUUUCUAGUGAGUAAUGAAAAAUGUUUGUCUUUUUUUAAUCUCUGUAACCUCAAGUGUACCUUUAGUCACUAUUUCUUUCUAACAUGAAAGCAAUAUUUAGUAGUUUCAGAGUCCAUCUUCUUAGAUCUCUAACAUCUACAGAGCUCAAAUUUUUUGUUUUCCUUGUUUCUCGGGGGCCAAAAAGUUAUACAAGGAGACUUUAAAACCAUUGUGGAAAAGCAAAAUAAAAAAUAAGUUGAUUUGGGUGCAAAAAAUUUUUUGAAAUUUAUAUAACAUUUUUUUCAAGACAUAUUUUCCGUGAACUUUCAAAGUAUUUAUUCUGAAUCUCAAAAUGGUCCUUUGUUUUGAGUAAUUUUUGUCUUUUAAAAAAUCUACUUAUUUUAUUUGAAAGGCAGGAGGCAAAGAGACAGAGCAACAUCUCCUGUCUGUGGGUUCACUCUCCAAAUGCCUGAAGUAGCCGGGGCUGGGCCAAGCUGAAGCCAGGAUCCAGGAACUCAAUCCAGGUCUCCCAUGUGGAUGGCAGGAACCCAAGUACUCAAGCCAUCAAGGUGCACACAGUAGGAAGCUGGAAUCAGGAAAAGAACUAGAACUGGAACCCAGGUCAUGUCGAUAUGAGAUGCAGACAUCUCAAACAGGGACUCAACUACUGUGCCAAGUGCUGGUCCCAGUUUUAUCUUUCCUAUGUCUGAUGAUCUCCCCUUUUCUCCUUUCUCCCUUCUCCCUUUCCUUUGUGAUUUAGUGUUACAGGAUGAAUAUAAUUUCAUAGAUUCCUUUCUUCCUUCUCAACUACAGAGAAAUGUCUAUACAUGUCCAAUGUCCGUUGUGAAGGUAGAUUAUAUCAAAGUUCAUGAAGAUAUUUGUCCCAAACUUUAAUUUCUAGAUAAAGGGAGAUGCUCAACAUACAUAAGUAUAUGUGCUAUAUAUAUGAUAUAGAUAGGAUGUAUAUUUAGGCUACUUCAAUUAAACUGAGGGUUCCCAUUGUCCAUGAAGCACAGGAGGUCAAGAUCAGCAGGAACCUUGAGGCAAGGAAGUUACUCCUUAAGAAGCAUUGCCUUGUGCACCUGCCGUGGCAACUUGCAGUCAGCUCUUCUUGUUUCCUGGGUGAGGGCAGCACUGUCUUUCACAGUUGGCUGGCUCUCCAGUCGGCAUGAAGUGGCUUUGUGGGAUGAUCCCCUGGGGAGCUGCCCCACAUGUGGGGUUUUCCCAGACCUAUUGGACUUACAGUCUGCCUGCCUUCAAGACCCCAUCCCACUGACCUAGAGGUUGUAUUUCAGUGUUGUUAGUGGUGACAGUCACUUCCUCUUAGUUGUAUUUUCUCUGUCACACGCUUGAAAGAUUGUAUUUUCAAAAUGGUUGUAUGUCAUCCUCUCCCAGAAGUUUGUAGCCCGGGAUCUGGCCUUUGAGAACAGAAUGCAGUGGAAGUAACACUACGUGACACCCUUGCCAGAACAUAAAAGGCAAUAUGGCUUCCGUCUGGUUAUCCCUGUCUGUCUCUCCUCUCUCCUGUCUCCUCUCCACCUCUCUCUUUUCUGGAUACAUGGAUCUCAUGAGCCUGAGCUGCCCUCUAGUUCCUGUGCUGGAAAAACCUCAUGGGGAGAUCACACAGAGACAGAGAGAGAUGUUCUCUGUCCAGGGUCUUCCCGGCACAAACACCGGAUGAGUGAAUGAACCAUCAGACAAGCUGGUACCUCAGCCUUUCAGCUGUUUCUGACAUCUUAUUUUCAUUCUUUUCUUAUUUUAUUUCAUUCUUAUUUUGAUUUCUUUCUUGUCAUUUCAUCAGGGUUAUGACUGAUGAGAAGACAAAAAUUUGGCCACAAAUUACUACCUUGAGGGCAAGCCUUGUGGCACACUGGGUUAAGCCACUACUUAGGGUGCCCACAUUUCAUAUUGGAGUGCCUGGCCUGAGUCCUCACUACUCUACUUCUAAUCCAGCUUCCUGAUGGAGUCCCCGGCUCUUGGCUCUGCCUGGCCUAGUCCCAGCUAUUACAGGCAUUUGGGGAGUGAACCAGCAGAUGUGAAAUCAGUCUCCCUUUCUGUCUCUGUCUCUGUGUCACUCAGCCCUUCAAAUAAUUGUCUUUUGUAAAAAAAUUGCCACCUCAGACUGAAACUUGUGGUUUAGUUUCCAAUUGAGACACUGUGCUAUUUCCAUCAGACACCAUCCUUUAUCUACACAUCUGUGUCAAUCGGUUUGUCAGAUUAGCUGUUGUCAUUGAGUUACGCCACCCUUGGCUGGGCUCUCCCUCUGGCCCUGCCUGCAUGUACACACGGUAUUAAUUUAUAGUUUAGGGGGAUUUCUAGGUGUUCAUCUGCUUGAUCCAUAAGACAAGCUACUUCCAAAUGUUGUCAAUCUAUUGAGGCAGCUUGCCACAAAAUAACCAGAGAGUGUUGUGUAAAGGAAAGCAAAGAUAGCAAUAGUUUCCUAAUUCAUGUGGAAUCAACAACUCUAAGAUCACCAGAAUCUAUAAACACAAUGUCAGAACCAAGAUUGAAGCUCCUAAAGAGUUAGAGUUUUACAAAGUGGGAACUGUUUUGUGACUAUCUUCCAUCUGAGUUGACAGAUGAUAAUAAGAGUUUAAAAUAUUUCUGAAAUUGCUCCAUGUUUGUGAGUGAUUUUCAUUGCCAUCCCACUUGACUGGUGUCAGAAGUGAAACCUGAAACAUUUUUUUUUCCAUCCUGACCAGCACCUUUUCCAGGCAUUCUCUCUUUCAGCGAAAUAUCUGAUUGGGAGGCAGAUUGUUUAGUCUUUGGAGAAAAUCAGCUCUCAAGAGGAGGGAUGGGUGAGGAAGAGAACUGCCUGGCAGGAUAGAGAGGGCACACAGAUCUGAGGCUCAACUUGGACUAAAUCUUGGUACCGGCACUUCCAGGUUUGUGGUCUCGGGUCAGUUACCAUCUUGGAAUGUCAGUCUCUUCAUAUGGGACAUUGACGUGGUGCCGUGCCAAUUUGCUGGCGAUGCCAUAGGAAACUACCAUGGCUAUGUGGCUUAAACAACCAAAAUUUAUUUUCUCACAGUCCUUGGGGUUAGGGGGCCAAGGCCAAAGUGCCCUGAGCCCUGAGCUUGCCCUGAGCGUCUCUCCUUGGCUUACAGAUGACGUCUUCCACGUGUCUUCUCAUGGCCUUCCCUCUCUGUGUGUCCUUGUGACCAUUUCCUCUUCUUACAAGAACGCCAGUCGUACUGGAUUAGGGAUCACUUCAGGAUUUCAUUUUAAUUGAAAGACCAUAUGUCUAAGUGUAGUCACAUUCUGAGGGGUUGGGAUGUGGGACUUCAAUAGGAACUUUGUUAGGGACAGGAUUCAGUCCAUGACAGACACCUGUCCUAAAGCAAAGUUCUGAAAUGUUGGAGAUAAAGUGCCAAGCACACAAUAAAGAUGCUAAAAAUGUUGGUUCUCUUUCUGCCUUCCCUUGGUUCCAGAUUUAUUUGUCCUUAGUGGUAAAAGAGAAUGUAUUUUUUUUUUUUUAAUUUAUUUGCUUGAAAGUCAUAGUUAUACACAGAGAGAAGGAGAGGCAGAGAGAAAGAGAGAGAGAGAGAGAGAGAGAGAGAGAGAGAUCUUCCAUCCGCUGGUUCACUCUCCAGGUGGCCACAAUGGCUGGAGCUGUGCCAAUCCCAAGCCAGGAUCCAGGAGCUUCCUCCAAGUCUCCUACACAGGUGCAGGGGCCCAAGGACUUGGGCCAUCCUCUACUGCCUUCCCAGGCCACAGCAGAGAGUUGGAUCAGAAGUGGAGCAGCCAGGACUCGAACUGGUGCUCAUAUGGUAUGCUGGCACUGCAAGUGGCGGCCUUCCCCCUACACCAGAGCACCAUCCCCCCACCCCGCCCUUUAUUUAUUUACUUGAAAGAGUUACACACAGAGAGAAGGAGAGGCACAGAGAGAGAGGAGAAUAUAUUUUCUUUAUUAGCAAUUUACCUUCCUCCUUUUACAAAAAAAAUAUAUUUGAGAAAUCGCAGGAAUAUGAUCAACCUUUUUUUUAAGAUUUAUUUAUGUAUUUAAAAUUCAGAGUUACAUAGACAGAGGAAGAGACAGGUAGAGAGAGAGAGAGAAAGAGAGAGAGAGAGAGAAUCUUUCAUCUGUUGGUUCAUACUCCAAAUCGCCGCAACAGCCAGGGCUGAGCCAGGCCCAAGACAGGAUGCAGGAGCUUCCUCCAGAUCUCCCAUGUGGGAGUAGGGGCCCAAGCACUUGAGCCAUUUUCCUCUGUUUCCCAGGCACAUUAGCAGGGAGCCAGACAGGAAAUGGAGCAACUGGGUCUUGAACCAGCGCCAUAUGGAGUGCCGGCAUCGCACAUGGCAGCUUUACCUACUAGACCACAAUGCCAGCCCCAGAUGUUCUUUCUUAUAUUUCCCCUUUUCAAAGACCCUAAGUCACUGGCCUCGAAAGGAAUUGCUACAUUUUUACUCCUGUUUUCUAGAAUUCAGAUAUGAUGACUUGGACUGCAUCAGCCACACAGAGUCCAAAAGAUGAUCUUGAGAGGGGUGGGCAUUGUGGUGCAAUGGAUUGAGGCACUGCUUGGGAUGUGCGUAUUCCAUAUUGGAGUGCCUGGAAUCAAGUCCCAUUUUGGCCUCCACUUCCAAUCCAGCUAAUUUCUGCUAAUGUUCUAGGGAGGUGGCCAAUGUGACUAAAGGACUGAGUCUCUGCCACACACGUGGGAGGCCCAGGUAGAAUUCCUGGCUCCUGGCUUUUGCUUGGCACAGCCCCAGCUACUGUGGCAAUUUUGCAAAUGAAACAGUGAAUAGAAGAUCUCUCCUGAUCUCUAUCAGUUGCUCAAAUAAAAUAAAAAAAAAAAAAAAAACACUAAUGAAAAAAGAGAUGACCUUGAGGUUGAAAAUAAAGAUAGAGGAGAGAAAAUAUAGGAGACACCCAGAAAACGGAUGUUGCUGUAUAGAGGCCAGCUACCUACUCAAGGCAUCACGUUACAUGAGAGAAAAAAAGUCUUUAUUUAUGCCCUUGUUAUUUUAAUCAAAAGUACUUCCUAACUAAUGUGGAAUUUGAGUUUAGUUGACAAGUUUAAGGUACAUGUUAAUAAACGAACUUAAUGUAUUUAAAAAAUAAACUGACUUCAUGCCUUUGAAGCUUACAUCCAGUGUCUUGUGAUUGACUACAGUGAAAGUCCCAAUGGGUGGACACAAAUUGGUGUUCCAGAAAGUAAGAAAGGGACUAUUGGACAGAACCGUAGUGAGCACGGAAGCAGUUGCUAUGUGAGAAAGUCAGAUCACCAGUCAGAAGAUGGAGCAUGCAUUGGCUAGUCACCAGCUGAACAGAUCUGGAAAAUAUUCUGAGUGAAAUGGACAUGCACGUUCCAAUUCCCAUUUAAAAUGUCUGAUGCUGCUUAAAGAAAGGAGAGUAGUGACAAAGACAAGUAUAGAGGCAGAGAGACCAUUUAGGAGGCAUUGACUUACUUAAGGCAGGAGAAGCGUUGACUUGGACCAAAGUGAUGGCAAUGACAGUGAAGAAACUGGUCAAAUAUAUGAACUUAUUUUGGAUACAGUACCCAGCAAGACUUCCAGUUUAUUUGGAUGUGAGGUUAGGCAGUGGUAAGAGUCAAGGAUGAUAUGUAAUUAUCUCAUUUUAAAACUGUCUGUGAGGGUGGUGCAAUGUAAGAAGAGGUGGCUAGAAGGAGAUCCUUGUAUUUAAGAGACAGGGAGAGGCCGGCGCCGUGGCUCAAUCGACUAAUCCUCUGCCUAGCGGCACUGGCACACUGGGUUCUAGUCCCGGUCGGGGCGCCGGAUUCUGUCCUGGUUGCCCCUCUUCCAGGCCAGCUCUCUGCUGUGGCCCAGGAGUGCAGUGGAGGAUGGUCCAAGUCCUUGGGCCCUGCACCCCAUGGGAGACCAGGAGAAGCACCUGGCUCCUGCCAUUGGAUCAGCGCAGGUGCGCCGGCCGCAGCGCGCCAGCCGUGGCGGCCAUUGGAGGGUGAACCAACGGGAAAAGGAAGACCUUUCUCUCUGUCUCUCUCUCUCACUGUCCAUUCUGCCUGUCAAAAAAAAAAAAAAAAAAAAAAAAAAGAGACAGGGAGAUAGGAUUAAGAGGUCUCUGUGGAUGCUUAAAGUUUGAGAUGCCUGAAACAUGAGGGGACUUUGAAAGGCUUGUGGGAAAGUGGAAUUAAAAGAUAACCUUAUCUUGGUGCUUGGAAAUUGAAAUCUCUAAAUUUUUUUUCAUAACAUACAUUUUCCUGGACUUGUAGACUUCUCAUCUAAGUGUCAAUAUUGGGUAAGCAGUUGGCUAUAUGAGUCAAGGCUGAGAGAUUCAAGCCUGAGAUGCAAAUGUAGAAAUCAUUGGUGCAAGACGGCAUCAAAACCAUAGGAGUGAAUGAGAACACUGAAGGAAAUAAAUAUGGACAAAAACGACAUUCUGAAGUGGAGCCUGAAGUGCUUGUUUCUUUAAAAGUUGGGCUGAGAAGGAAGAUGUGGUAAGUAGUCCCUUAAGGAGUGGCCACUGAGAUAAGAGGAAAACCUGCUGAGUCCCAGAAGCCAAGGGAAAGAAACAAGAAGGGAGGGGUUGACUGUGCAACAUGGGUGCAGGUUUAAGGACAGGAGAGUAGAGUGGUCACUGGGUUUGGCAAGAGGGGGGUUUUCUCUGAUGGAGGCUCGGGUUGGUGAAGAAGUAAAGGGAGAAAGUGGAGACAAUUCUCCUGAGUUUCCUUAUAAGGGGAAGCAGAGGAGUGGAGUGGUAGUUAGACUGAAAUAUAGGCUCUAAAAAGGACUGAAACAUUUAGGAGAUUCCAAGUGUGUGUGUAUCCAGUAGAGAGAGGAGAGAGAGAACGAGAGAUGUUAUACAAGAUAAAGAGAAUAACCGAUCUCAUGAAAUCCCCAAGAAGAUACAGAGCACAAGGGGGACUCUGAUGGGAGAAGGAACAACUUAGCUUUGUGUUUUCAUUCUAUUGCCAAUGAUGCUAUAAAGAUUGCCUCAAUAUUUAUAUCAAUUUGUUUGCACACUUCUAGGAAAAGAUCGCCAUGAUCAAGGUCACGCACAUUUUUUAAAGGUUUUCCACACAGUUGUAAAUCUGCAUCCAGAUGUAUCAGGUCAAUUAAUGGGAACUCAUCUUUUUUAAAAAAAAUUGACUUAUUUGAAAGGCAGAAUGAGACAGAGAGAGAGAGAGAGAAAGAGAAAGAGAGAGAGAAAGGUAGAGAGAGAGAGGAAUCCUCCACUGAUUCACUUCCCAAAUAGCUGCAACAGGCUACUGUCUGUAGCCCGGAGCCAGGAACUCCAUCCUGGUCUUCCACAUCCUGGUCUCCCUGGACAGGAAUCCAAGAACUUGGGCCAUCUUCUACUGCCUUCCCAGGCACAUCAGCAAAAAGCUGGAUCCUAAGCAGAGCAGCUGGGAUUCAAACUGGCACUCCAGUAUGGGAUGCUGGUGUCACAAGUGGUGGCUUAACCUGCUGUGCCACAGUGCCCACCUCAGGAUAAUCUCAUUUGUACCUUACAUUCUCUGAUAAACCUUCACUUUAUCAUCACGGUGAUUUUUCUUUUGUAAGUGGCCAGUUAUUAUUCUGUUCUUUUGCUUCUCUUUUGACCUGGAACAUUGGUGAUCUCUACACUAUGUGCAUAUAAGCUUUUAUGUAUUAAUAGUUGUUGCCUUUGUCACAUUUGGGAUACACCCAUUUCACAGUUCUCUUUAACAGUUUUCCUUGUAGUUUCCAUUUUUUUACAUCUGUACAAGUUCCCAUGAGGGUUUACACUUUUUCCAUUUUUUUACUCAUUUUUCCUUUGUGAUUCCUUCUGUUGAUUUUAUCCUUAAAAAGUAUUUGUUUUCUCCCAAGAAACAAUGCUUACAAAGUGAUUUUGAAAGGAUGAGAUGCUGUGGUCUGGUUUGCCCUGCACCUCAGUACUGUGAACAUCCAGCUCUGAAAUGGAGCAGUCCACCCAGCCCCAGGAAAUGAAACAUUCCCAGCGAAAUUGCAUCAGAUUUCAUGUCUGCUAAGCAGCAAACAACAAGACUCAACUAAUCUACAUCAAAACAAUUGGCCGUAGAAACCUUCACAAAUGAAACUUUUGUAAUUUCAGAAGCUAAGCCAAGUAACAACCAACCCACAUCAUAAAGCCCCAAAUGCUGCAUCAAGUUACCAAUUUUCCAUGUCAUGUCCUCACCUCACCAGGUUAAGGAUCCUGUACACAAUGACGACUAUUUCUGGAGGACAAACUAAAACCUCUCUAAGGCACCAAAGUACUUCAUUUGUGAAUGAGCACAUGAAAUGAAGGUGCUGAGUGCCAGAUGACCUUACUGAAAGUGAUGAAGAUCUGUGUUGGCAGAAUGGUUGAAAUGGCCAAUGGGAAACCAAAGAUGACACAUUGUGCACAGAGAAGAGUGAUGCUUUACCGCACAUCUGUAGUCACUGUUUUUGAAUGUUGAGUUCAACAGAUAGUGCAAACGCUUGGGACUAGCGAAGACCAGAAGAAUUUUCUUCACUCUUCUUUGCUGUUCCAUCAAACCAGGCCAUUGACUGUUAGUUAUGGCUCCAGGUCAGAGAGGAGUAAGCAGUGCCUUUGCUUAAGCCUUUAAGAAUGUUCUGCCUUCUCUUGUUUGCAUUUUGAAGAAACAGUUUCAAGGCACCUAUUUUUAAAAGAACAAACUAUUACAUAGUUGAGAAUGAUUUUUCAGACCUUUCAAGUCAUGGGGCCUGUUUGGUCAGGAUGUCUAACAGAACAAGCUUCUCUGUGGGAACUGGGUCUGUUGCCUUCUUGCCUUUUAAAGUCAUUAACAGCACACUACGCAAUUUGGAAUAUCCUGCCCGUGACUCAGCUAAGUUUUAUUGUUUUGUUUAUUUUCCUUUUCAUCUUCAGCUUCUUCCUAUUUGAGGAAUUUAAAAACCUUCUUCCUAAAAGUUUGUCCACUGCAGUUGGAUUUCAGCAACCUAGGGAAAGUUUCCUUCGUUUGGGCAAGUUCCAUUAGACAACUGGUGAGGGUGUCUCACCUGACUGUGAAUGGGCAAGUUUUUCACCUGGGGUCACACACUCACAGAGGGUCCAUUAGAGUCUGGGGUUGAUCCUUUCAACAGCGGACAUAGAUCAUAACAGAAACCAUAGGAAAUCUGGCAAGUAUCCAUAGCCUUUCAAAUUUUCAUGUUUGUCUUUGGCUCUUAAGUGUUGGGAAGUUCCAAAUGAUCAGGGUGGAACAAACUGCUGGGGAGGAGCAAUGGCGAGAGCAUUCAAGAACAGUAGGUCUUAAGUCUGCACUGGAGCAGUGGAAAGGACAAAGGGCUGAGGGUCAGGAGGCUCAGAGCCUCAGCUUGGCACUGCCAUUGAUGAGAGAAUGAAAUGAAUUGCAUCUCUCCUGGCCUGCAGUGCCCUCACUCGUGUGACAAGGGAGGCUGUCCAUUCCAAGGAACAGCCAAUCUUGAUCUGGGCUGAGUUAAUUCACUGCCUGUGAUGGUCAGUAAAAUUGUUCUGGGAUAUGGACACUGCCAUUUUUGUCUUGUUUUGUGUUUAAAGUUUUAUUUAUUUAUUUGAAAGGCAGAGAGAGAGAGAGAGAGAAAGAGAGAGAGAGAGAGAGAGAGAGAGAGAGAGAGAGAGAGAAAGAGACUUAUUCUAUCUACUGAUUCACUCCCCAAAUGCCCAUGGCUGGAUAGCUGGUCCAGGCCAAAGCCAGGAGCGCAGAACUCCACCCCUGCCUCCCAUGUGGGUGACAGGGGUCCACUGCCUUCCUACAUGCAUUAUCAAGAAGCUGGAUCAGAAGUGGAGCAGUGGAUUUGAUGCCGGUGUCACAGGUGGCAGCUUAACCCUCUGUACCAAUGCCGGCCCCAGCUAUUUUGUUUAUCCGUUGCCUAUGACUGCUUUCCUGCUACAAAGGCAGAAUUGCCCCAGAAAGCUUAUGGUCCAAAAAAUCUAAAACGUGUGUAAUCUGCUCCUUUACAGAAAAUGUUUGUGCAAUCUUGGUCUGAUGGAUUUCUACUAUCCAAACUCUACACUCUGUAAUUUCUCUAUAUCUUGAACUUAGUAUUGAACUGCUUCUUUAAGCACGCUAUAUGAACUAUGUUCCUUGUUAUCUCACAAAUUGGGUAACUUUUUAUUUUCACUCUGAAGGCCAAGAUACACAUACUUGACAAUAAAUAUAACUUGAAGCCAAAGAAUCGGAUCUUCCAGGAAAAGGUAAACAAGAUGGAAGAUGAUUGAUAUGAAAGCCUCGAGUACUGUUACUAUGGAUUCAUUCUGAGAGGAGGAGCAUAGUGGGGGCAAGAGGCACGGUGUCACCACACAGACACUGGGAGUCAGGUGAAAGUGGGCCAGAGGUGAGCAGCCCUCAGACUCGUUUAUUUCAGUUGGUACAGCAGCCUAUAUAGCCAAGGCAGCCAAUCUGGUCACGGGGCAGUUUAUGUCCUAACCAAUCACAGCCUGUUGCCAGGCAGGUUCUGUUGCCAGGUGGGUUUUGAAGCCAUUCCUGAGUAACCGACACUUGUUUGCCAGCAGCCAUCUUAGCACGGCCUUCUCAUUCCACCACAGAGUACAGUGUCCUUCAUGAUUUGUUCCUAUCUCACCUCUCCAGCUUCACCACUCAUCUCUGUAUCUUUGCUGGCCCCUUCCCAGGCACUCUGAGCCAUUCUACUUCCUUUAACAUAGCAGGCUAGCUAUUUCUUGUCCAGUUUUUCAAUGAGUUUGGAUUUCCUCAGAACCACUCCUUGAGAUGAGGAUUUGAGUGUCUCUAGUUCAGUUGGGAGAUAAUGCCAAAUGAAACAAAAAUCAAAAUGUUAGGGGAGUAAGGAAGUGAUACAGAAAAGAGAAGGUGAAAAAUAAAGGAAUCGUCAGGAAACAAGUUAACCCUGGCAGGUGAUAGAAAUUUGGCUCCUUGGUGAAUCUGGUAGCCAGAACACACCAGGCCAGGGUUAUCUUGCCUGAGGGUGGUGAGGAAGCUGGAGUAUUCAUACAUCAAGCCCAUUAGUCAGUGACAGAAGGCUCCUCUCAGGGAGGGGAGGGAAUGAGUUCAUUGGCGUGUGCAGUGAAUUUUGGGGCUGAAGAAAGCACUGUGGCAAGGAGCAUGGAUCCUGGCGUGGGGAGGAAUGUUGGCCAUAGUCGGGGGAGGAGCUGAGGGUGACUUUUUUUUUUCAUAUCUCCUCUUAGAUUCUCAGAUUUGAAAGGCGCUGGAGCUGGAAAAGCCGGGUAUGAGGGAGGGCAGGGUGAAAGCAGCUGGAAGCUGGUUGUGCUUUUCCUGCUCAGGGAACUGUAGUGCAGCGCCUCCUUGUCAACCACUUUGAGCCCUCUUGUUCACGGCGGCUGUGGAGCCAUCAGACCCUUACCUGGAGGAUCAAGGAUUCAAAGGCAGGUGUCCUCCAUGAGGACCCGCAGUAAGCUGUGUCGCCUUUUGAAAAUCUGCCCUCUGAAGUCACACACUGUCACGUCCACUGCAGUGCCCAGCACCACAGAUUCAAGGAAGGGAGUGCAGAUCCCCACCACUCCAAGGGGCAAGGGGCAAAGUCAUGUUCUGGGAAAGGGAAUGUCGUUGCAGCCGUUCCCAGAAAAUGCCGUCUUCCGUGCCCUUGUCCUGGUGAUGUUCCGGAGAUGCUUUUAUACAUUUUUCUUCACAUACGAACAUUUCACUUCACAUGGAGACACAUCCGAUUUCUCAGGGGACUUUUGAAUAUUCCUGGGUCUCUUAAUGGUCAGAACUUCGGUUUGGUUUUAGCAGGAGUCUCAUUAUUCUACCAAAGCUAUUGAACAUACUUAGAGCUCACUCUGGCAUCGAAACUGACUUGGGAUAUGUUUUAGCUUAUUUCCAUUUACAAGAUGUGUCAUACAAUGAAC
Non-coding RNA from Oryctolagus cuniculus (rabbit), 18347 nucleotides. NCBI's taxonomy places the organism in Eukaryota, Metazoa, Chordata, Mammalia, Lagomorpha, Leporidae. The record is from RefSeq and is a predicted model, not a curated record.